RNAcentral lists this ribosomal RNA (483 nucleotides) under uncultured bacterium. RNAcentral's name for it is "partial 16S ribosomal RNA". It matches the Rfam family "Bacterial small subunit ribosomal RNA", at positions 30 to 507 of the family's 1533-position model. The record is from RNAcentral.
UUGAACGCUGGCGGCAGGCCUAACACAUGCACGUCGAGCGGAUGAAGGGAGCUUGCUCCUGGAUUCAGCGGCGGACGGGUGAGUAAUGCCUAGGAAUCUGCCUGGUAGUGGGGGAUAACGUCCGGAAACGGGCGCUAAUACCGCAUACGUCCUGAGGGAGAAAGUGGGGGAUCUUCGGACCUCACGCUAUCAGAUGAGCCUAGGUCGGAUUAGCUAGUUGGUGGGGUAAUGGCCUACCAAGGCGACGAUCCGUAACUGGUCUGAGAGGAUGAUCAGUCACACUGGAACUGAGACACGGUCCAGACUCCUACGGGAGGCAGCAGUGGGGAAUAUUGGACAAUGGGCGAAAGCCUGAUCCAGCCAUGCCGCGUGUGUGAAGAAGGUCUUCGGAUUGUAAAGCACUUUAAGUUGGGAGGAAGGGCAGUAAGUUAAUACCUUGCUGUUUUGACGUUACCAACAGAAUAAGCACCGGCUAACUUCGUG